AUUGAACGCUGGCGGCAGGCUUAACACAUGCAAGUCGAACGGUAACAUAAAGAAGCUUGCUUCUUUGAUGACGAGUGGCGGACGGGUGAGUAAUGCUUGGGAAUCUAGCUUAUGGAGGGGGAUAACUACGGGAAACUGUAGCUAAUACCGCGUAGAAUCGAGAGAUGAAAGUGUGGGACCUUCGGGCCACAUGCCAUAGGAUGAGCCCAAGUGGGAUUAGGUAGUUGGUGAGGUAAAGGCUCACCAAGCCGACGACCCCUAGGGGGUCAGAAAGGAUUUCCACCCACUUUGUUCCUGGGACACCGCCUAGACUCCUGCUGGACGCAACAUUGUGGAAUAUUGCGCUGGGGAGGUGUCCCGUGCUGUGCCGUGUUGCGUGAAGUAGAGGCUGGCUUGGUUGGCUUCUGUCGUGACUGAGAUAGCUUCACUUAAUAGCGUGGUUAUGGCGGUAGACCGGUGGCUUUGGCGGCUGAUCCUCCCUGGGGAUUGGGUGGUUUUGUGACCUGGCUUAAACCAUGGUUAGAUCUGAAUGAUUUGGCGUGGGAUGGUCCGUCCUGCUCGUCAGAUGCGGUGCGGUUGGUGAGUGUUGGUUGUUUUGCUUUGUGUGCUUUUGUAUGGGGGUUGUGGUGUUUGUCUGUUGUUGUGUGGGUUUGCUGUGUGUUUUGUGAUGGUGUGGUCUGUUGUGCAUGCGUGUGAUUGUGUGUGAGACGUGUCGUGUAUAGGUGUGUGUUGUGUGGUGUGGUGCGUUGGUCGGCUCUGUGCCUGUGUGGCUGAUGAUGAUAUGAUUGUGAUGUUUUUUAUGUUUUUAGUUGCUGCGUCUGAAUAUAUAUGC
RNAcentral lists this ribosomal RNA (832 nucleotides) under uncultured Streptococcus sp. RNAcentral's name for it is "partial 16S ribosomal RNA". The stretch from base 6 to 438 matches the Rfam family "Bacterial small subunit ribosomal RNA", at positions 33 to 541 of the family's 1533-position model. Lineage: Bacteria; Bacillati; Bacillota; Bacilli; Lactobacillales; Streptococcaceae. The record is from RNAcentral.